CCUACGGGGGGCAGCAGUGGGGAAUAUUGCACAAUGGGGGAAACCCUGAUGCAGCAACGCCGCGUGAGCGAAGAAGGCCUUCGGGUCGUAAAGCUCUGUCCUAAGGGAAGAAGCAUGACGGUACCUUCGGAGGAAGCCCCGACUAACUACGUGCCAGCAGCCGCGGUAAUACGUAGGGGGCGAGCGUUAUCCGGAAUCACUGGGCGUAAAGGGUGCGUAGGCGGCCAAUUAAGCCAGGGGUGAGAGGCGACGGCUCAACCGUAGUAAACCCGUGGAACUGAAUGGCUUGAGUGCAGGAGAGGAGAGUGAAAUGCCUAGUGUAGCGGUGAAAUGCGUAGAGAUUGGGAGGAACACCAGAUGCGAAGGCGAGUCUGUGGACUAUAGCUGACGCUGAGGAACGAAAGCGUGGUUAGCAAACAGGAUUAGGUACCCUGGUAGUC
RNAcentral lists this ribosomal RNA (440 nucleotides) under uncultured bacterium. RNAcentral describes it as "bacterial SSU rRNA". It matches the Rfam family "Bacterial small subunit ribosomal RNA", at positions 338 to 795 of the family's 1533-position model. The record is from RNAcentral.